This 375-nucleotide ribosomal RNA is filed under the name uncultured Alphaproteobacteria bacterium. RNAcentral describes it as "bacterial SSU rRNA". It matches the Rfam family "Bacterial small subunit ribosomal RNA", at positions 29 to 432 of the family's 1533-position model. Lineage: Bacteria; Pseudomonadati; Pseudomonadota; Alphaproteobacteria. The record is from RNAcentral.
AACGAACGCUGGCGGCAGGCCUAACACAUGCAAGUCGAGCGAACCUUCGGGGUUAGCGGCGGACGGGUUAGUAACGCGUGGGAAUAUACCCAAAGGUACGGAAUAGCCUCUGGAAACGGAGAGUAAUACCGUAUGUGCCCUUCGGGGGAAAGAUUUAUCGCCUUUGGAUUAGCCCGCGUUGGAUUAGGUAGUUGGUGGGGUAACGGCCUACCAAGCCUACGAUCCAUAGCUGGUUUGAGAGGAUGAUCAGCAACACUGGACUGAGACACGGCCCAGACUCCUACGGGAGGCAGCAGUGGGGAAUCUUCGGCAAUGGGCGAAAGCCUGACCGAGGCCAUGCCGCGUGAGCGAUGAAGGCCAUAGGGUUGUAAAGCU